GUUACUUUAGCUGUUGCCACGAGAUGGUGGGACAAUCACGGCACGCCUGCUGGUGGAUCCUAAUUCAGCGACGAAGAUACAAUUUUUGAUAAGGUCAUGAAGAGUUGAAGAAAAGAGGGGCGAGCAUUCGGAUCAUGAGCAACACAACUUUUAGCCAGUUGGGCCAUGGAAAAAGCCAAGUGCAGGGGUAACUCAUCUCUUACACAAGGAUCGAUGAAGGCAUGGAGUUUCUCUCCCACGUUGUCUUCUUGAAGCACCUCCCUUAUCAAUGUAAAAAGCAUCUUUUCUUCCCCAUUUGAAUCACUUAUAACAGCCUCUUUCCCAGAUAAGAGCUCCAGUAUCACAACCCCAUAUGCAAAUACAUCUAAUUUUGGGGUUAUCAAUCCAUUUUCAAGGUACUCCGGAGCCAUGUAGCCAUGGGUGCCAACCACAUGUCUUGUCAACUGGGUGGCACCUUGUUCAUCGUUGGCUAGCUUUCUUGCAAGCCCGAAAUUGACAAUCUUGGCUCUAAAGUCGCCAUGUAAGAGAACGUUACUGGUAUUCAAGUUUUUAUGAACAAAGGGAGGAGUGGUGUAGUUAUGAAGGUAAUUGAAGGCAUCAGCUAUAUUGUAGGCAAUCUGUAGUCUUUGCUUCCAUGAUAAAUUGCAAGAAGUUUGAUCAUUCUUACCAGAGUGGAGCCAAUCCUCCAACGAGCCGUUCUCGACAUACUCGUAAACAAGGAAGGUGUUGCCGUUGUGCACACAGAAACCAGAGAGCCUGGCAAUGUUGGAGUGAUUUAUCUUUUUAAGUAUGUUGAUCUCGCUGGAAACGUCUCCUUUCAUCACCUUCACAGCAGCAUGAUCGCCCCUAAAGGAUCCCUUGUAAACAGAACCUUUAAUUUUGUUAUCUUCAUUGAAAUAGCCCGUGGCAGUUUGGAUAUCCUCAAAUUUGUAGAUGAUCAAAGACUCAAUUGAAUAUUUAAUUCCCUCAUAAGGAAAAGGGAGAUCAUUAAUUUUGGAUACAUUGGCCUCCUGAGGUUUCUGAUGAGACGGAGGAGGAGUACGAAAAUACCAAUAUGAAAGACCAGAGAACGUAACGAGGAUAAGCAAACCACCUCCAAUGCCAACAGCCACAUAAACCCACUUUCGGAAAGAUUUGGAUUUUGAGACAGGGACGACGUCCACUGGUGUUGGAGGUGGAGAAUAUGGGGGUGAUGCGAUCAUUGAGGGUUCACUUGAGAUGGGAACUAGAAUUGGCGUAAAUGGCCAAAUCACGUCAUCUUCCAGUAACUCGUUUGCAUCAAGUACACUUUGUACACUAACAUUGAACAAUUGGGCAAUCUCAGAAACGGUGUCGCCCCAAGUGACCAUGUAGGUGAGCAUGUACUUGGCACCAAAAGCAGUCUGGUUAGACG
This 1393-nucleotide unclassified non-coding RNA is filed under the name Hevea brasiliensis (rubber tree). The record is from RNAcentral. Lineage: Eukaryota; Viridiplantae; Streptophyta; Magnoliopsida; Malpighiales; Euphorbiaceae.